Molecule: long non-coding RNA, 235 nt
Filed under: Musa acuminata (dwarf banana)
Lineage: Eukaryota; Viridiplantae; Streptophyta; Magnoliopsida; Zingiberales; Musaceae
Description: long non-coding RNA (MACU_LNC003158)
Source: RNAcentral
AACCCCCAUUCCUGCUGCUGUUCUUCUCGGGCCAAGGCUGAGACACCAUGGCCUCCCUCGGCGUCUCCGAGAUCCUCGGCACACGCCUCAGCACCGCCGCCCCACCUCGCUCCCCCCCUGCGCCACCUCCCUCCGGCUCUCCAAGGAUCGUUGCGCUUUUCUCCAAGAAGUCUUCACCCAAGUCGAAGCCAGCCGCCGUUUCUCCGGUCAACGACGAGCUCGCCAAGUGGUAUGG